AAGCACCACCAUCAAACCCAUCUUCUUCUUCUUCUUCUUCUUCUUCUGCAACCAACCACCACACUCCACCAUGGCCAACAUGAUCAUGGCCUCCUCAAAACCUCUCAUCUCACCCACCUCCUCCCUCCCCUUCCCCAAACCCACUCCCCAAAUCUCCCAAAUCUCCCUCCCCAGAAUCCCUAAACUCCCCAAACUCCAACACAUCCUCUCCCUCUCCCCCUCCUCCGCUCUCAAAUCCUUCUCCCUCCUCGCCGCCACCUCCCUCUCCUUCGCCCCUCCAUCCCUCGCCGAAGAAAUCGAGAAGGCCGCUCUCUUCGAUUUCAACCUCACCCUCCCUAUCAUAAUGGUGGAAUUCCUG
This 358-nucleotide long non-coding RNA is filed under the name Carica papaya (papaya). Its description in RNAcentral is "long non-coding RNA (CPAP_LNC004362)". Lineage: Eukaryota; Viridiplantae; Streptophyta; Magnoliopsida; Brassicales; Caricaceae. The record is from RNAcentral.